UACGAAGGGGGCUAGCGUUGUUCGGAAUUACUGGGCGUAAAGCGCACGUAGGCGGAUCGAUCAGUCAGGGGUGAAAUCCCAGGGCUCAACCCUGGAACUGCCUUUGAUACUGUCGAUCUGGAGUAUGGAAGAGGUGAGUGGAAUUCCGAGUGUAGAGGUGAAAUGCGUAGAUAUCUGGAGGAACACCGGUGGCGAAGGCGGCAUCCUGGACCGGCAUUGACGCUGAGGCGCGAAAGCCAGGGGAGCAAACGGG
This 253-nucleotide ribosomal RNA is filed under the name uncultured bacterium. RNAcentral describes it as "partial 16S ribosomal RNA". It matches the Rfam family "Bacterial small subunit ribosomal RNA", at positions 524 to 776 of the family's 1533-position model. The record is from RNAcentral.